RNAcentral lists this ribosomal RNA (460 nucleotides) under uncultured bacterium. Its description in RNAcentral is "partial 16S ribosomal RNA". It matches the Rfam family "Bacterial small subunit ribosomal RNA", at positions 338 to 795 of the family's 1533-position model. The record is from RNAcentral.
CCUACGGGCGGCAGCAGUGAGGAAUAUUGGUCAAUGGACGAAAGUCUGAACCAGCCAAGUAGCGUGAAGGAUGACUGCCCUAUGGGUGGUAAACAUCUUUUAUAUGGGAAUAAAACAGGGUAUGCAUACCCUCUUGUAUGUACCAUAUGAAUAAGGAUCGGCUAACUCCGUGCCAGCAGCCGCGGUAAUACGGAGGGGCCGAGGGUUAUCCGGAUUUAUUGGGCUUAAAGGGAACGUAGGUGGAUUGUUAAGUCAGUUGUGAAAGGUUGCGGCUCAACCGUAAAAGUGCAGUUGAAACUGGCAGUCUUGAGUACAGUAGAGGUGGGUAGAAUUCGUGGUGUAGCGGUGAAAUGCUUAGAGAUCACGAAGAACUCCGAUUGCGAAGGCAGCUCACUGGACUGCAACUGACACUGAUGUUCGAAAGUGUGGGUAUCAAACAGGAUUAGAUACCCUUGUAGUC